UCGGACGGGAUUGGAGAGCUUGCUUUCCAUGAGAGUGGCGCACGGGUGCGUAACACGUAUGUAACCUACCUUUAUCAGGGGGAUAGCCUCUCGAAAGAGAGAUUAAGCCCGCAUAAUAUGAAGACACAGCAUUGUGAUUUCAUCAAAUAUUUAUAGGAUAGAGAUGGGCAUGCGGAACAUUAGCUAGUUGGUAAGGUAAUGGCUUACCAAGGCUACGAUGUUUAGGGGAUCUGAGAGGAUGACCCCCCACACUGGUACUGAGACACGGACCAGACUCCUACGGGAGGCAGCAGUAAGGAAUAUUGGUCAAUGGGCGGAAGCCUGAACCAGCCAUGCCGCGUGCAGGAAGACGGCCCUACGGGUUGUAAACUGCUUUU
This 377-nucleotide ribosomal RNA is filed under the name uncultured soil bacterium. RNAcentral's name for it is "bacterial SSU rRNA". It matches the Rfam family "Bacterial small subunit ribosomal RNA", at positions 62 to 437 of the family's 1533-position model. The record is from RNAcentral.